RNAcentral lists this ribosomal RNA (713 nucleotides) under uncultured bacterium. RNAcentral describes it as "bacterial SSU rRNA". It matches the Rfam family "Bacterial small subunit ribosomal RNA", at positions 775 to 1485 of the family's 1533-position model. The record is from RNAcentral.
GGAUUAGAUACCCUGGUAGUCCACGCNGUAAACGAUGAGUGCUAGGUGUUAGGGGNUUCGACGCCNUUAGUGCCGAAGUUAACACAUUAAGCACUCCGCCUGGGGAGUACGACCGCAAGGUUGAAACUCAAAGGAAUUGACGGGGGCCCGCACAAGCAGUGGAGCAUGUGGUUUAAUUCGAAGCAACGCGAAGAACCUUACCAGGUCUUGACAUCCUUUGACCAUCCUAGAGAUAGGGCUUCCCCCUUCGGGGGACAAAGUGACAGGUGGUGCAUGGUUGUCGUCAGCUCGUGUCGUGAGAUGUUGGGUUAAGUCCCGCAACGAGCGCAACCCUUGACUUUAGUUGCCAGCAUUCAGUUGGGCACUNUAAGGUGACUGCCGGUGACAAACCGGAGGAAGGUGGGGAUGACGUCAAAUCAUCAUGCCCCUUAUGACCUGGGCUACACACNUGCUACAAUGGAUGGUACAAAGGGUUGNGAAGCNGCGAGGUGAAGCCAAUCCCAGAAAGCCAUUCUCAGUUCGGAUUGCAGGCUGCAACUCGCCUGCAUGAAGCCGGAAUUGCUAGUAAUCGCGGAUCAGCAUGUCGCGGUGAAUACGUUCCCGGGCNUUGUACACACCNCCCGUCACACCAUGGGAGUGGGUUGCACCAGAAGUAGCUAGUCUAACCUUCGGGAGGACGGUUACCAGCGGUGGGAUCAGUGACUGGGGUGAAG